RNAcentral lists this ribosomal RNA (253 nucleotides) under uncultured bacterium. Its description in RNAcentral is "partial 16S ribosomal RNA". It matches the Rfam family "Bacterial small subunit ribosomal RNA", at positions 524 to 776 of the family's 1533-position model. The record is from RNAcentral.
UACGAAGGGGGCGAGCGUUGUUCGGAUUUACUGGGCGUAAAGGGCGCGCAGGCGGCUUUGUUUGUCAGGCGUGAAAGCCCCGGGCUUAACCUGGGAACUGCGUUUGAUACGGCAGGGCUAGAGUUCGGGAGAGGAGAGUGGAAUUCCCAGUGUAGAGGUGAAAUUCGUAGAUAUUGGGAAGAACACCGGUGGCGAAGGCGGCUCUCCGGACCGAUACUGACGCUGAGGCGCGAAAGCGUGGGGAGCAAACAGG